RNAcentral lists this long non-coding RNA (341 nucleotides) under Mytilus galloprovincialis (Mediterranean mussel). Lineage: Eukaryota; Metazoa; Mollusca; Bivalvia; Mytilida; Mytilidae. The record is from RNAcentral.
UGACGAAUUAGGAUUUAACGUCCAGUCACAAAUAUCAUAUAAAAAAGAAGAUGUGAUAUGAUUGCCAAUGAGACAACUAUCCACAAAAGACCAAAAUGACACAGACAUUAACAACUAUAGGUCACCGUACGGCGUUCAACAAUGAGCAAAGCCCAUACCGCAUAGUGAGCUAUAAAAGGCCCCGAUAAGACAAUGUAAAACAAUUCAAACGAGAAAACUAACGGCCUUAUUUAUGUAAAAAAAAUAACGAAAAACAAAUAUGUAACACAUAAACAAACGAAAACCACUGAAUUACAGACUCCUGACUUGGGACAGGCACAUACAUAAAUAAUGUGGCGGGA